GGUAGCGUGGCCGAGCGGUCUAAGGCGCUGGUUUUAGGCACCAGUCUCAUUGAGGCAGUGGGUUCGAAUCCCACCGCUGCCA
RNAcentral lists this transfer RNA (82 nucleotides) under Mizuhopecten yessoensis (Yesso scallop). RNAcentral's name for it is "tRNA-Leu". It matches the Rfam family "tRNA". Rfam says of the family: Transfer RNA (tRNA) molecules are approximately 80 nucleotides in length. Their secondary structure includes four short double-helical elements and three loops (D, anti-codon, and T loops). The record is from Rfam by way of RNAcentral. Lineage: Eukaryota; Metazoa; Mollusca; Bivalvia; Pectinida; Pectinidae.